RNAcentral lists this long non-coding RNA (270 nucleotides) under Bos taurus (domestic cattle). RNAcentral describes it as "long non-coding RNA NONBTAT019513". The record is from RNAcentral. Lineage: Eukaryota; Metazoa; Chordata; Mammalia; Artiodactyla; Bovidae.
AAGAUAAAUUAUGUUAUUUAAAUGUGCAAAUUAAAAUUUUUAUAGGAAAUUACUUUUCAUUUCUCAUAUAAUGAAACUUUAAGAACACUUUUGUGUACAAGUAAAUAUCUAAUUUGAGUCUGAAUUUUUAUAGAUCCAGUUUUCUUAAAGACUAACACAACAUGGGAUGUUUUUCUACAGUCAUGCUUCCAACAAAUCUAUGUAAGUAGCAUACUUAGAAAUUUUCUUACCUCUUAGAGAUACUAACCUAUGUUCUAACCUCUUAGAGAU